This 484-nucleotide ribosomal RNA is filed under the name well water enrichment culture. Its description in RNAcentral is "bacterial SSU rRNA". It matches the Rfam family "Bacterial small subunit ribosomal RNA", at positions 30 to 503 of the family's 1533-position model. The record is from RNAcentral.
AUUGAACGCUGGCGGCAGGCCUAACACAUGCAAGUCGAGCGGUAGCACAGAGAGCUUGCUCUCGGGUGACGAGCGGCGGACGGGUGAGUAAUGUCUGGGAAACUGCCUGAUGGAGGGGGAUAACUACUGGAAACGGUAGCUAAUACCGCAUAACGUCGCAAGACCAAAGAGGGGGACCUUCGGGCCUCUUGCCAUCAGAUGUGCCCAGAUGGGAUUAGCUAGUAGGUGGGGUAACGGCUCACCUAGGCGACGAUCCCUAGCUGGUCUGAGAGGAUGACCAGCCACACUGGAACUGAGACACGGUCCAGACUCCUACGGGAGGCAGCAGUGGGGAAUAUUGCACAAUGGGCGCAAGCCUGAUGCAGCCAUGCCGCGUGUAUGAAGAAGGCCUUCGGGUUGUAAAGUACUUUCAGCGAGGAGGAAGGCAUUGUGGUUAAUAACCACAGUGAUUGACGUUACUCGCAGAAGAAGCACCGGCUAACUC